This 468-nucleotide ribosomal RNA is filed under the name uncultured bacterium. RNAcentral's name for it is "partial 16S ribosomal RNA". It matches the Rfam family "Bacterial small subunit ribosomal RNA", at positions 28 to 507 of the family's 1533-position model. The record is from RNAcentral.
GACGAACGCUGGCGGCGUGCUUAACACAUGCAAGUCGAACGGAAAGGCCCUGCUUUUGUGGGGUGCUCGAGUGGCGAACGGGUGAGUAACACGUGAGUAACCUGCCCUUGACUUUGGGAUAACUUCAGGAAACUGGGGCUAAUACCGGAUAGGAGCUCCUGCUGCAUGGAGGGGGUUGGAAAGUUUCGGCGGUUGGGGAUGGACUCGCGGCUUAUCAGCUUGUUGGUUGGGUAGUGGCUUACCAAGGCUUUGACGGGUAGCCGGCCUGAGAGGGUGACCGGCGACAUUGGGACUGAGAUACGGCCCAGACUCCUACGGGAGGCAGCAGUGGGGAAUAUUGCACAAUGGGCGGAAGCCGGAUGCAGCAACGCCGCGUGCGGGAUGACGGCCUUCGGGGUGUAAACCGCUUUCGCCUGUGACGAAGCGUGAGUGACGGUAAUGGGUAAAGAAGCACCGGCUAACUACGUG